AACGGUCUAUACCUGCGGUACCUGCGGAGGGAUCAUUAAUGAGAAACUGCCCCUCGCGGGUAGAUCUCCCACCCUUUGUAAACUUACCUUUGUUGCUUUGGCAGGCCCGUCUCCGGACCGCCGGCUUCGGCUGGCCAGUGCCUGCCAGAGGAUUCUAAAACUCUGUCUGCCAGUGUUGUCUGAGUCUAUAUACAAUCGUUAAAACUUUUAACAACGGAUCUCUAGAUCGGAAGAGCACAC
RNAcentral lists this unclassified non-coding RNA (240 nucleotides) under soil metagenome. RNAcentral's name for it is "partial contains 5.8S ribosomal RNA, internal transcribed spacer 2, and large subunit ribosomal RNA". The record is from RNAcentral.